AGUGGCCUCGCAGCUGGGGCAAGGGGGACAUCCCCGGCGCCGGGGAGCUGCGAGCGGAGCGAGCGCCCGGGGCGCACCUGAGCCUCCAGCACUCCCCGCGGCCGCGGAAACAUUUUCCUGGGCAUCUAAAAGUAUUGUGGACCUGAGACACUGUGCUUACAGGGCCUACUGGUUUUCACUGUAUGAGACUGAGAAUGGAUUACGGCAGUUCCUCUUACCUCCGCUGCAUACUUGACUCCAUCCACGGUGUGCUCAGAGCCAUGAUCAUCCGAAGAGCCCCAGUGAAGAUGAAACUGGCGAAGUCGGUAGGGUCCAGGGAGAGGACCCCCUCUCAGCACUGUGAUUCAGAUAAGCUUGGUCAACAGUGAAUUCAUGCUUCUUUUACAGAGCUCUACUUUAACCAAGUGCUCUUAGAGCCAAGGCUUAAUGGACAAAAUGUGGUCAGUUUGCUGGGUGGAUGGUGCCACUCCCAGGACACUGGACUCCUCACAAAAUGAAGUCUAGGGAUAUGUCAAGAUAAAUGAUUGUUCUUUUCUGUCUUUCUUAUUUUGUUUGCUUG
Molecule: non-coding RNA, 559 nt
Filed under: Pan troglodytes (chimpanzee)
Lineage: Eukaryota; Metazoa; Chordata; Mammalia; Primates; Hominidae
Source: RNAcentral